CCUACGGGAGGCAGCAGUGGGGAAUAUUGCACAAUGGGGGAAACCCUGAUGCAGCGACGCCGCGUGAGUGAAGAAGUAUUUCGGUAUGUAAAGCUCUAUCAGCAGGGACGAAAAUGACGGUACCUGACUAAGAAGCCCCGGCUAACUACGUGCCAGCAGCCGCGGUAAUACGUAGGGGGCAAGCGUUAUCUGGAUUUACUGGGUGUAAGGGGAGCGUAGGUGGCAUGGUAAGCCAGGAGUGAAAAGCCAGGGCUCAACUCUGUGGAUUGCUUUUGGAACUAUCAAGCUAGAGUGCUGGAGGGGUAAGCGGAAUUCCUAGUGUAGCGGUGAAAUGCGUAGAUAUUAGGAGGAACACCGGUGGCGAAGGCGGCUUACUGGACAGAAACUGACACUGAGGCUCGAAAGCGUGGGGAGCAAACAGGAUUAGAUACCCCGGUAGUC
RNAcentral lists this ribosomal RNA (441 nucleotides) under uncultured bacterium. RNAcentral describes it as "partial 16S ribosomal RNA". It matches the Rfam family "Bacterial small subunit ribosomal RNA", at positions 338 to 795 of the family's 1533-position model. The record is from RNAcentral.